CAAAACAAGAGAUUGCAAAAGAGAGAUAGCAGAUAGAAAGAAAGGAGAAUGUAGGAAAUGCAGUUGGGAAAGAAUUCCAAGAAAAUAAGGAUAAAGGGCAGGAAGGGCUGAAAGGAGGGCAAGAGGGAGGGAAGGAGGGAGGAAGGGAGGAAGGGAAAGAUUUUGGUUUUCAAUUCUCUGGGGAGACUGCUGGCGUCCGCGCCCUGAACGCCCAGCCUUCCAAGUUGAGGCGAAAGCCACCUCCUCGGGCCUGCGUCGCAUCCAACUUACUCCAAGUUUUCUGGUGACUCCUACAGGGCCCCUUUCCGUCCCCCCACCCCCCACCCCCUUAGCGAGAUUGACGGUGGCGUAGAGGAGGCUUUUCCAGGCACAGCUUUUCUCAUGGUAAUCGGCCCCCAGCAUCACCUCCCGGCCGCAGCCGCUCCCUCUCCGUGCGCAGCUCGCGGACCCCGGGGACCGGAAACAGGGCGACGGGCGGGGAGCAGGAGAGCGAGCCAGGCUCAACUCCGAAUGGAUUGGAUUGCGAGUUUGCACGUGAGAAAACCGUUUGGCUUGCCUUGGACCCCUGCCGCCCCUCACCCCUUCCACACACACCCAAUCCAGGGGUCCCCCUUAUCACCCUUUGCUUGCAACUCUGAAAGAAGUUGCCCACCUCCUGCGUAACACCAUCAGGUCGAAAUAAUUCUUCUAGAUGAAAGAUCAAUUCCGCUUGAAAACGAGAAAAGGUUCCUUCUUUUAUUUUCUCCACAUGGUAUAAAAUAAACAGAAUUUGCUUUAAAAAAAAUCAUUAGCUGUGGCCAAAUUCGAAUUCCUUCUACAGCCUGCGUGUUCAAGGGCAGAAACAUUGUAUCUCUUCGGGCAUCUGGGCCGGCAAGCGGAGCUGGGGGCAGGCGAGACGUGGGGAGAGGUUGUGAAAGUUGAGGAAAUUGACAGACUGAGAGGUGAAUGGGGGGGACAGGCACCAGGUCCUGGCUGGAGGGAAUUGGAAAACAAAAGUGCAUCUUCUCACCCUGCCUGGGUAGAGGGAAUCCUGAGGGAGGCAGUUUGUUUUACUCAAAAGAAC
This 1063-nucleotide long non-coding RNA is filed under the name Equus asinus (donkey). RNAcentral describes it as "lncRNA (ENSEASG00005025667.1)". The record is from RNAcentral. Lineage: Eukaryota; Metazoa; Chordata; Mammalia; Perissodactyla; Equidae.